RNAcentral lists this ribosomal RNA (497 nucleotides) under uncultured bacterium. RNAcentral describes it as "partial 16S ribosomal RNA". It matches the Rfam family "Bacterial small subunit ribosomal RNA", at positions 28 to 507 of the family's 1533-position model. The record is from RNAcentral.
GAUGAACGCUGGCGGCGUGCCUAAUACAUGCAAGUCGAGCGCACGGACGAGAAGCUUGCUUCUCUGAUGUUAGCGGCGGACGUGUGAGUAACACGUGGAUAACCUCCCUAUAAGACUGGGAUAACUUCGGGAAACCGGCGCUAAUACCGGAUGAUAUUUUGAACCGCAUGGUUCAAAAGUGAAAGACGGUCUUGCUGUCACUUAUAGAUGGAUCCGCGCUGCAUUAGCUAGUUGGUAAGGUAACGGGUUACCAAGGCAACGAGGCAUAGCCGACCUGAGAGGGUGAUCGGCCAAACUGGAACUGAGACACGGUCCAGACUCCUAGGGGAGGCAGCAGGAGGGAAUCGUCCGCAAUGGGCGAAAGCCUGACGGAGCAACGCCGCGUGAGUGAUGAAGGUAUGCGGAUCGUAAAACUCUGUUAUUAGGGAAGAACAUAUGUGUAAGUAACUGUGCACGUCUUGACGGUACCGAAUCAGAAAGCCACGGCUAACUACGUG